Molecule: ribosomal RNA, 725 nt
Filed under: uncultured bacterium
Lineage: Bacteria
Description: bacterial SSU rRNA
Rfam family: Bacterial small subunit ribosomal RNA
Source: RNAcentral
AACAGGAUUAGAUACCCUGGUAGUCCACGCCCUAAACGAUGUCAACUAGUUGUCGGGUCUUAAUUGACUUGGUAACGCAGCUAACGCGUGAAGUUGACCGCCUGGGGAGUACGGUCGCAAGAUUAAAACUCAAAGGAAUUGACGGGGACCCGCACAAGCGGUGGAUGAUGUGGAUUAAUUCGAUGCAACGCGAAAAACCUUACCUACCCUUGACAUGGCAGGAAUCCUUGAGAGAUCAGGGAGUGCUCGAAAGAGAACCUGCACGCAGGUGCUGCAUGGCUGUCGUCAGCUCGUGUCGUGAGAUGUUGGGUUAAGUCCCGCAAGGAGCGCAACCCUUGUCAUUAGUUGCUACGAAAGGGCACUCUAAUGAGACUGCCGGUGACAAACCGGAGGAAGGUGGGGAUGACGUCAAGUCCUCAUGGCCCUUAUGGGUAGGGCUUCACACGUCAUACAAUGGUACAUACAGAGGGCCGCCAACCCGCGAGGGGGAGCUAAUCCCAGAAAGUGUAUCGUAGUCCGGAUUGCAGUCUGCAACUCGACUGCAUGAAGUUGGAAUCGCUAGUAAUCGCGGAUCAGCAUGUCGCGGUGAAUACGUUCCCGGGUCUUGUACACACCGCCCGUCACACCAUGGGAGCGGGUUUUACCAGAAGUAGGUAGCUUAACCGCAAGGAGGGCGCUUACCACGGUAGGAUUCGUGACUGGGGUGAAGUCGUAACAAGGUAACC